AACGAACGCUGGCGGCAGGCUUAACACAUGCAAGUCGAGCGCCCCGCCAGGGGAGCGGCAGACGGGUGAGUAACGCGUGGGAACGUACCCUUAUCUUCGGGAUAGCCCCGGGAAACUGGAAUUAAUACCGAAUGUGCCCUUUGGGGGAAAGAUUUAUCGGAUAAGGAUCGGCCCGCGUUGGAUUAGCUAGUUGGUGGGGUAAAGGCCUACCAAGGCGACGAUCCAUAGCUGGUCUGAGAGGAUGAUCAGCCACAUUGGGACUGAGACACGGCCCAAACUCCUACGGGAGGCAGCAGUGGGGAAUAUUGGACGAUGGGCGCAAGCCUGAUCCAGCCAUGCCGCGUGAGUGAUGAAGGCCUUAGGGUUGUAAAGCUCUUUCACCGGAGAAGAUAAUGACGGUAUCCGGAGAAGAAGCCCCGGCUAACUUCGUG
Molecule: ribosomal RNA, 431 nt
Filed under: uncultured bacterium
Lineage: Bacteria
Description: partial 16S ribosomal RNA
Rfam family: Bacterial small subunit ribosomal RNA
Source: RNAcentral